CGCAUUAGCUAGUCGGCGGGGUAACGGCCCACCGAGGCGACGAUGCGUAGGGGUUCUGAGAGGAAGGUCCCCCACACUGGUACUGAGACACGGACCAGACUCCUACGGGAGGCAGCAGUGAGGAAUAUUGGUCAAUGGGCGGGAGCCUGAACCAGCCAAGUCGCGUGAGGGAAGACGGUCCUAUGGAUUGUAAACCUCUUUUGCCGGGGAGCAACGGGGUCCUUGCGAGGGCCUAAUGAGAGUACCCGGAGAAAAAGCAUCGGCUAACUCCGUGCCAGCAGCCGCGGUAAUACGGAGGAUGCGAGCGUUAUCCGGAUUUAUUGGGUUUAAAGGGUGCGUAGGCGGGCUGUUAAGUCAGCGGUCAAAUGUCGGGGCUCAACCCCGGCCUGCCGUUGAAACUGGUGGCCUCGAGUGGGCGAGAAGUAUGCGGAAUGCGUGGUGUAGCGGUGAAAUGCAUAGAUAUCACGCAGAACUCCGAUUGCGAAGGCAGCAUACCGGCGCCCGACUGACGCUGAGGCACGAAAGCGUGGGUAUCGAACAGGAUUAGAUACCCUGGUAGUCCACGCAGUAAACGAUGAAUGCUAGCUGUCCGGGGCUUCGGUCCUGG
Molecule: ribosomal RNA, 607 nt
Filed under: uncultured bacterium
Lineage: Bacteria
Description: bacterial SSU rRNA
Rfam family: Bacterial small subunit ribosomal RNA
Source: RNAcentral